CCUUUCCAAAUUUCAUCAAAUUCGGCCAAACUCGAACCCAACGAUCCCGACGUCCAUUUUGUUCAAACGAGGCACUCUGAGCCUCCUCGUGACCUCCUUAAGCUCACUGUGAGCUUUGUUUAACCUAAAACACGGCCAUAUUAAAGUUUGUGAACAGUGCUUAAUCACGGGGUGUUUUGAAACUAGGAUUUCAGAAAUGAAACUUACUCGAAAAUGGUAUCCCCGUGUUCGUGAAGUCAUCAGGAGUGUCGUGGUGAUCUUCACUUGGACGUUCGUGAAUGUUUUAGGUAAGUUUGUGUGUGAGCUUGUGAGUUCGAGAGUAAGAGAGAGAAUGAGAGAGUCUGAAAUGAAGAAAGAGAGAGAGAGUGUGUGACUGAGAAGGAUAAGAGCUGAGGAAGAGACAACCUACGGGUUUUGGGGAAGGAAUUCGGGAGGUAGGACCCUACCUAAAGUCCAAAUACAAAAUAACACAUACAAUUAUAAAUCUAACCCUAGUUUAGGAUCUUAAAGUAAAACAAACACCAAAAUUACGCACCUUAAUCCCGUUUAAGGGCGUUUUUGUAAUUUCACGUCCUCGGUAUUUAGUAAUUCUGGGACGGGCUGUGACAAUCUCCCCUCCUUAUAGAAUUUCGUCCCCGAAAUUCCAGUCAUCAACCAGAACAUCAAAACUCAUAGAAUAGCCUCGGAUACAUAUCCUGCAUCCGUUCUUCUGUCUCCCAUGUAGCUUCUUCCGCUGUAUGGUUUCUCCACAAUACUUUUACCAAGCUCACGGUCUUAUUCCUUAGAGUCUUAUCUUUCCAAUCCAGUAUAGUCACUGGUUCUUCAUCAUACGUCAAAUCCGGAUUAAUUUCCAAAAGUUGAGGAGGAAUCACAUGUGAAGGAUCUGAAACAUAAUGCCGAAGCAUCGAGACAUGAAACACAUUAUGUACCUUAGACAACUCUGGAGGCCAUUCAAUUCUAUAAUCAACUUCACCAACCUUUCGAUGAUCACGCUAAGUCCGAUUCAUUUAGGAUUUAACUUGCCUUCCUUUCCAACCCGAAUUAUACUUUUCUAUGGUGAACACUUCGAAAAUAUAAAACCAUUUACCUUAUAUACUCGAUUAGUGGCAUAUCUAUCUGUUGAUCUCUUUUGCCAUUCCUGGUUACUUCAGGUUAACUUAAUCACCUGAAUACUUUGAGGAGACUCAUCCAUAGUCUCAAGGUCUACUAAAACUCUUUCUUGAUUGAAUCUUUCUCUAUUCAGAAGCAUUUCAUUCACACGACACGCUUCAGGGACCCUAUGGCGUUAUUUCGGAAACUGCGCACCCAACAUACUUAAGAAACUCAGCAGUUCCGUAAUCCAAUUCUCUUUCCAUAAAACAAAUAAGUACCGUUGUCCUGACUGGGAAAAAGUUAUUACUCAACACUGGAGUAAAUAUACUAACUUGUUACGUUGCCCAACCAUCACUUCACAUCCGAUCGUAACCAUCUUGUAUACAAGGAAACUUGUACACAUAGUCCAAAGUAAUAUCUUUCCAUUUCCGUUUCGAAACAGAAAAUAGUUAUCUCAAUCCAAAGGUUUAUUUCUUUCUGCCUCAAUCUGCUGACCAAUAAAAAUGUCGAAUGGUAUGAUAAACCUUAUUACUUUCGGAAUAUUGCAGAAGUUAAACAAUGUACUUCGUCCAAAAUUGCUUACUUUAAACCCACAGCAUUAGGCACAUACUUUUCGUUUGCUUGUAUUCACAUACCAUCCGAUUCAAGAAUCAUGUACUCAUUCUUUUUCCUUUCUUUCUCUGCCUUGGUUAAUUCUUAAAUUUCUUCGUUAACCAUUUGAGUCUCGAGUACGACCUUACCAAAAGGCCUAACUUGAAACUUAGCAAGUAUAACUUCUUCUCGAUCUUUCAUUCUUAACUUUACUUUAGUUGGUUUCCAAUCCACAAGAAGAUAAUCUUGGCAAGCGUACCAAGCAUUAAUUCUUGCUGGAGUCUUCUCAUCAAGUGCUUCCGCUACAACAAUUCACGAUCACCCUGAUCGUACAAUCAUAAUCACUAAGUAAUUCAAUCCACCUUUGUUGCCUCAUAACAAAAUCCUUCCGAGUAAACAAAUAUUGGAGACUCUUUUGAUUUGUAAAAUCUUGCAUUCUUAUCAACAUAUAAUGUCUCCAUAACUUCACAGCAAGGAUGAUAAUCGUGACUUCCAAAUCACCAGUAGGGUAAUUCAUCUCAUGAGGUUCCAUUUGUCGUGAAACAUAUACAAUCACCCUAACAUUUGCAUCAACAUGCCUCCAAUACCAUUCAAGAAACAGCACUAAAAAUUUAUGAUUACCACUAUCUUCUAGGAUUACUAAAAUACGUGUAUGAGUGAGGAAAUACUUUAGUUGUUGAAUUCCUUACUCACAAUUUCCUUCCCACUCAUACAUAACUCUUUUUCUCAACAGUCUCGUCAAUGACAAAGCAAUGACUGAAAAAUCUUUCACAACCAUCCAAGAUAGCCUGGUAAGUUAAGAAAUUCCAAAUCUCAAUUACGACUCGUGGUUGUUCCAAAUUCUCAAUUCUGCUGCCUUUUAAGAAUUCAUUUGAAUACCUUAAGUAGAUAUAACCAAUCUCAGAAUGCCACUUGAUUCAUCUAACUUUAGCAUUUGCUACUUAGCAUACAACCGACGUUCCCUCAAACUUUGUAACAUCAACUUAAAAUAUCUAACAUGCUCUGCUCUAGGCUUAGAGUAUACCAGAAUAUCUUCAAUGAAAAUGAUAUCUAUUUAUCAAGGCAUUAUUGGAAUACUUCAUCCAAUAACUCAUAAAACAGCAUGAGUAUCCAUAUAGCAUCACCAAACUUCAUAAGGACCAUAACAAGUCCAGAAAACCAUCUUAUGAUCAACGUCACUUAUAAUAUUCAAUUGGUAUUAACCAGAUCUCAAGUCAAUCUUUGAAAAUAUACAAGCACCUUUGAACUGAUCAAAUGAGCGUCAAUACACCACAAGGGAUAACGGUUCUCAAUCGUUACCCGACUCCAUUGUCUAUAAUCAAUGGAUAGCCUUAAAAAUCCAUUUUCUUCCUCACCAACGAACUGGGCUCCUCAAAAGUGUUGUACUAGGUUGAAUAAAACUUUUAUCAACCAAUUCUUUCAACUGAAUUUCCAAUUCCCUUAACUCAUCAUGAACCAAUCUUUAACAUAAAUUUAUACCUGGCAACAAUUCAAUAAUGAACCUCAUAUCUCUGCCUGAAGACAAUCCAGAUAUACUUUCAGGGAAGACAUCAAGAAAAGUCUAACCCUUUCGACAUUAUUCACACUACUCCAAACAAUAUCAUUUAGCACCACAUGAGCUAAGUAUUUUUGGGCAGCCUUUCAAAACAAUCUCUUUGCUUUCACAGCAUAAAUAAUGGCUGAACUCACUUCACUUUGCAUGCCCACUCAUUAAGGUAACCUCUGAUCAUCCAGAUCGAUGGAAAAUGACUGGUUUCCCGUAACAAUCCAUCUAGUCACAAUUAUAACCAACUAAUCUAAUGGAAAUAAUUUAACCGACACAAUUCAUACUCUAUUACUACUAAGCAUUCUGAAUAAGUACAAUACUAACAUAAAAUAAUCUACCGGGUUGCUUGCUUAACGAAUCCACGAAUGAGUUAUUAAUAUUACGGUCUGCAGCCCGCAAUACUGAUAAAUCAUCGUUGUCUCGAUAAGUAGGCAACCACUCUCAAAGAUAUAACAUUACUAUUUUGUCACUCAAUGCAAAAUACAUACACUCGUCUCAACUACAUUUAUUUACUACUCUCUAGGUAAUAACAUACAUAAUAAGAAAUAUAUCAGCCGAAGUCAACUAGAAUGACCAAUACGGCUGAUUCAACUCUUAUCUCAAUAAUACGUCGGCCGGAUCCACUCUGCGUGGUCGGUACGGUCGAGUAUAUAACUCACCAAUUUCUCAUGUGUCAGUCGAAUCCACUUCUCAUGGUCUAUACGGCUGAACAUAUAACUCACCAAAUCUCUCUGUACUCACGGUCAAUCCGACCAAACUACUAAGUUCAUAAACUUGCUGAAUCGACACUAUGAUGCCAUGGAAACUGUUGGGUACAACUGAUUCUAGGGACGAUUCACAAUUCUGUGUCCCCUCUGUUCACAUAAACACAUUUAUUAAUUUCACACUUCCCAAAGUGUUAAUUUUGUACCUGCUGCACAAAGUACAUUUCCUUUACUCGAGACACCUUGUCUCAAAUAUCUGGGAUUACCAGUAUAUCCAUCACUUUUACUCUGACCAGCUACAUUAAAACCUCAGCUGGAAGAAUUAACUCUAGCUUCACUUCUUUCGAAGCUCUGAAUCUUUCUAUAUCCUUGAUAUGACGAAUCAUUAACUUUAUCGUCUUCUUUUAAUUCCCAUUCAUUUCUUAUUCCUCUUUACUCUCGUUGAUCAUGUUCUCAGAGUCCUCAAGGCUCAACAACAUCUCGUAUACUCCUGGUAAUAAAUACAAUGGAUAGUGGUCACUCAAAGAACGCCGCUUUUUCUUACUAUCCAGCAUAAACAACAUAACACCUCAACCAAAUUAACAGUAAUAUCUGGAUGGAACGAGGCAAGUCUGAAAACUUUCUAUAAUAUCCCUCGAUCAUCACCUUCAUUGUCUCAUAUUUGUAAACUCUUGUUUACUACCAUCGAUAAAUGCCGGAGGGAUAAACUUUUCCUUAAACAAGUCCUUAAACAAUUUUAAAUCGGCUGAUUCCUCUGGUGACAACAACUAACAAUCCUGUUUCCACCAGGAUACAAAUUCAUACCCAAAACCAGGUAGUCGUCUCGACCCCUUGUCAGAAGGAAGAUUCCUUUGACUUGCAUAAUCUGAAACAUCUUUUCCAAAUGGUUAAACCGUUACUUCGUUCCCUCAGGUUCAUCAUUUCAUAAGGUGAUUCAAAUUCGACUUAUAACCCGUCUUAAAAUGUCCAUUUUGAUAAUAUACUGAAUCACCAUAAUAAUAGUUUCCCCCAAACCGCUAAAUCAGGGAGACUAAAUUCCUCUAACUACGUGGUUUGCUACGAGGCGGUGUAGUUCUGACAGAAUUCACUAGAAACUUCUCAAGAUGUCCAAGAUUGCAACCAUGCUCUGAUACCAACUGACACACCCCGUCCCGAAGGAGGGCAUGCUGGCCGUCACGUGAGAGUGACGUAACCAUUUGCACAGUACGGAAGCUUUAAUUAUACAAUUUAUAAGUUGAUACACCCGAAGGUGAGUCCUAAUUUUGUCUAAUCUGUCAGAACACCGUCGAAUUCCUCGUAGUCACCACACCUUUGUGAUUCCUGAACCUGGAGGGGCGCAAAACCAAAAUUGAGUGGGUGAGUAAAACAAUUCUUUUCCAAAUCCAAACAUUUCUCAAAACGUUGUAACCCCUCUCCGUAAAACCUGUAUACUUUCCCAGAAAUGUAAAAUAUAAAUAUACAUAUAUAUUCUCAACAUUUUUCUUUAUCAAUCAUGCCAUGCCAUGUCUAAUUCAACAGUUAAGUAUGGAUGCAUCAACAAUAAUCAUAUCAGGUGCAAGAAAGUAAUCAACCGGAGGCCCUAUAAUAGUCCUGUACGGUUGAAUCUAGAGCUCAAAAUCUAUCACUAUCACUCUGCCGGAGUCACCUCUGUGACCUAUCCGGCCUUCUGCACACAAGUUACGCUCUAGUGCUUCUCUCAUCAAUCAUCUGUGCACAUAAUCUAAGGUCACCCACCAAUCGAAAUCUCACUAACACUCUUCGACUGGCCCGUCGCACCCACUCCGCGUGGACUGUGCGACCAGCAUCUACUUGGAUCCAAGGCGAGCGUGCGAUGCGGUGAAUACUAUAAGCACUAAACCAUGGUGCAGGAUUUGAGCUCAAUAUAUAUCAUCAUCAUCAUAACAGUAAUUAAAUACUCACCUGAUACUCACCUGUGCGUCCGCCGCACCAAUUCAUACAUAUGCAUCAUAUCUCAAUUCAUGCUUUUCAUAUCAUUUCAUGCAUGGCAAUUCGAUUUACAUUUCCAUAUAUAUUUCAUAUACUUCUAUGCAUGACCUUUCAAUUCACGUUUUCAUAUAAUUCUAUAUACCUUUCGUUUAAAACAUAAUUUCAUUCUAAUUCAAUUUCUGGGAAAACGUCAAGUAUAUAUAUAUACGGAAAACAAAACUGCCCACUCACAGAUUACAUCGACGUCUCGUAAGUCCCUGAGCAUCCCUUGGCCAUGCCCGAUGCCCGCAUAAACCUCACCUAUACAAAAGUAACCAUUUUGACGUUAUUUAACGCCUAACCCAAAUCUUAGUUAAUAACUCCUCAUAUUUUGCUCAAAUUGGGUAUAUGAAUAUACCACCGUGACCUACACAACCUCAGGAUCAUCCCCAUAUUUUUAAAAUAAUUUUUCGAGGUCUCACGCGCCCCCACGUGCCUGACGUGGCACGGACCUACGCGCCCCCCACGCGCGGCCACGUGACAUGCACACUGACGGCUACAGUGAACGGCGUUAGGGAAUAUUUCGUCAAAUCUUAGUAUAUUCCGUUAAAAACUAACGGUUUCCGUUAAAACUGACUAACGGCGUCAGAAUAUUCCGUCAAACUUGACGGAAUAUUCCGUCACCUUCAACCUUUAGCUCCGGCGACCGUCGCCGGCGCCGGAAACUGGGUAAAUUUUCAAAACCACUAAUUUCAAUCGUUUUUGGUCCAUUUUCUUCGAAUUUUACACCAAAAUGAAGCAUUUAACACCUACUAUCACGUUGGAAGGUUUUUAAGGUCCAAAAACAACAAGAUCAUACCUUUCCAAAUUUCAUCAAAUUCGGCCAAACUCGAACCCAACGAUCCCGACGUCCAUUUUGUUCAAACGAGGCACUCCGAGCCUCCUCGUGACCUCCUUAAGCUCACUGUGAGCUUUGUUUAACCUAAAACACGGCCAUAUUAAAGUGUGUGAACAGUGCUUAAUCACGGGGUGUUUUGAAACUAGGAUUUCAGAAAUGAAACUUACUCGAAAAUGGUAUCCCCAUGUUCGUGAAGUCAUCAGGAGUGUCGUGGUGAUCUCCACUUGGACGUUCGUGAAUGUUUUAGGUAAGUUUGUGUGUGAGCUUAUGAGUUCGAGAGUAAGAGAGAGAAUGAGAGAGUCUGAAAUGAAGAAAGAGAGAGAGAGUGUGUGACUGAGAAGGAUAAGAGCUGAGGAAGAGACAACCUACGGGUUUUGGGGAA
This 7139-nucleotide long non-coding RNA is filed under the name Malus domestica (apple). RNAcentral's name for it is "long non-coding RNA (MDOM_LNC020719)". Lineage: Eukaryota; Viridiplantae; Streptophyta; Magnoliopsida; Rosales; Rosaceae. The record is from RNAcentral.